Molecule: ribosomal RNA, 194 nt
Filed under: uncultured Lactobacillus sp.
Lineage: Bacteria; Bacillati; Bacillota; Bacilli; Lactobacillales; Lactobacillaceae
Description: partial 16S ribosomal RNA
Rfam family: Bacterial small subunit ribosomal RNA
Source: RNAcentral
CCUACGGGAGGCAGCAGUAGGGAAUCUUCCACAAUGGACGCAAGUCUGAUGGAGCAACGCCGCGUGAGUGAAGAAGGCUUUCGGGUCGUAAAACUCUGUUGUUGGAGAAGAAUGGUCGGCAGAGUAACUGUUGUCGGCGUGACGGUAUCCAACCAGAAAGCCACGGCUAACUACGUGCCAGCAGCCGCGGUAAU